The sequence is a small nuclear RNA, 115 nucleotides long. Its record names the gene U1. It matches the Rfam family "U1 spliceosomal RNA". From Rfam's summary of the family: U1 is a small nuclear RNA (snRNA) component of the spliceosome (involved in pre-mRNA splicing). Its 5' end forms complementary base pairs with the 5' splice junction, thus defining the 5' donor site of an intron. The record is from Ensembl.
UUGUUUACUUGGCAGGGGAGAUAUCAUGAUCAUGAAGGUGGUUUUCCCAGGGCCAGGCUUAUCCAUUGCAUAAUUGGUGGUAGUGACAUAUUGUGUUCCUGCUCUCCCCUGUUAA